UUUUACUGAUAAAUUUAGCAGAUUUGAAGAGCUUGGAGUCUUAAAACUGUAGCUUACAAAUAGUUAUGUAGACAAAGUGUCUGACUCUUAAAAAAAACUGCAAUUUACACAGGAGGAAAAAUGCUGCAGUAUCAAAGGAAAGCUGUUCCCUGUUCUUCCUUUAGCUAAUUUCCUGAUCUGUUCACUGUUCUCAUUGCACUGCCUUGGGAAAAAGUGGCAGGGCAAUCUGAGAUGCUGGCCUGUUAAACUGCUUGCCUUCCAUUCUUUUACUUUGCAGCAGUUUCCAUAAAAAUUAAGCAGUUUAAAGUCAAUAGAAUAUGAGUCUAAUGCAACUAAUCAUCUGAAUUUUAUUCAUACUAUUACUUUUAGUGCCUGCUAAAAGAUGGACUGCUCUUAUCAUCUUGAGCUCUCUCACGGGGUUUGCUGUGUGCUGACAAUGAGAGCUGCUGUCCAGAUGACCUGUCAAACCUGCCAUCCUCGGGACACUGCUGGAGAUAGGGAAAGCUAACCGACAGCUAUUGUUAAGUGGUGGGAUUGAAGCAAGGUUCCUAGUUCUAAGUGAGAAAAGAGGUUGACUUAAACACAGCGAGCGUAUGGAUCUUUACAGAAGGCACUGUCUUUUUCCCAUUAUCUGUGAUGACUGAGAACUCCUUGCAUAUGUCUGAACUGUAUGGCCAAAUUGAGAUUAUUGUUUUUAUAUCCUUUGGAGCCACCAAUCACACUACGAAAAAGAGCUGUGGGUUUGCACAUGCUGCACCAUUUGACUUCAGUGGAGCUGAUUCAGCCUGGUGAUAGCUAUCAUACUGUAUAUUCAGGUCUGUAUUACAAGUUACCACCUUUCCUUUUCUUACACUUUAAAAAGCAUUCAGUCUCAUAAACCACCUUUCUUUCCUUAAAAAAAAAAAACACACCACCAAACAUCAAAACAUUGGAACAUGGCUUUCAGUGAACAUGGAAUGUGGUUUUUGAGUGUGAUGAUUUUGAGACAAAUAGGUAAAUGAUAGCUGAUAGCACAUUGUUUUUUACUGAUUGACAUGCUAUAUUCUUCAUAGCUUAACAAGUUAAGGAAAAAGUAAAUCUCUGAUGAGCUGUCAGCCUUCUGGGUCAGCUGUAUGAAAAGGAUUAGUGGUGGCUAAAGGUCAAGGGGCAGUAAGAGUUUCUACAAACACUUCAGAAACUGAGAGGACAAAUGCCUGGUAGGGGGCACUCCUUUCAUUUGAAAAGUAGAAUCUAAUGCAACAGUGACUGGGAAAUGCUUACUACCUACACUACAUUGCCUUUCACUACUAGUCUUCAGUGAGAAAAGCAAAUAGAUACAGAGAAAUUAUUUCCAUGUUUCUGAUCAGUCGAUGAAAAAUAGGUAAAGGAAUGUGUGGAAAGCAGGUCCACAGAUUGGCAGAUGGAAUGACAAGAUUUCCAGUUGGGCUGGUAACCAGUUCUAUUUGUAUCUUUAAAAGAAUCAGACAAUCAUAAUGGAAACUCCCGGCAUCUUCCUGGCAGUAAGUGUAAGUGUAACCUGAAGACCAGCCAGCUAUUGUUUUGAUAAGUUUGAUCACUUUUUGAUAAACCAUUAGACAUAAUCCACAAUAAGAGCUCAAAAUCUUUUCAAGUUGACAUACAAUUACUCAUCCUUUAAUCCAGGUUCACUUUUAUGGAUUAAGUGCUUUGCAACAUCCAAAACCUUUCAUCUGAUACCAGUUAAGGUUACUAAAGUUGAAGAAUACAGACUUCUUUUCUAGGUACAGAACCUGUUGCUCUUCUUCAAACAUUUUCCAGCUGUUGCUUUUUGUCAGUCGGCUAUCAGAAGGCUGGUGGGUUUUACUCAUACCACUUUCAUUAAGACAGGCACAAGGGCACAGAGCUGCACCAGAGGAGGUUCAGACUGAAUAUAGGGAAAAUAAUUCUUUACUGUGAGGGGGAUGGGAUACUGGAAGAGGCUUCCUGAGAAGUUGAUGAUGCCCCAUUGUUUGUCAGUGUUUACAAGCCAUUAGGUCGUCUUUACUUUUGGUUAGUCCUGAAGUGGUUGGGUAGAUGGACUUGACAACCUUUGUAGGUAGCUAAGAUGUUCUAUUGUACUCUAUUCUAUUCCAUUUUACCAUAUUCAUAUAGUUUAUUUAGAAGGAAAUGUAUUGGCUGCCCUCUAAGCUGGAACUGCUCCUGACUACCUCUAUGCAAGUGUACUGAAAAUUUGGGUUCCUGUUUGGUGUGUACUGUCAGUGCUUCUUUUCCUCAGCAGCUGUAGUGAACCAGAAAUGAAGUAAAACAUACACACAGCUUAACUGUGAGAGGAAGAAAGAAAAUAAAAGUAUAACAAAUUAUUUCA
Molecule: long non-coding RNA, 2323 nt
Organism: Coturnix japonica (Japanese quail)
Lineage: Eukaryota; Metazoa; Chordata; Aves; Galliformes; Phasianidae
Source: Ensembl